This is a long non-coding RNA of Seriola aureovittata, 450 nucleotides long. RefSeq lists it as uncharacterized. The transcript has 3 exons. The record is from RefSeq and is a predicted model, not a curated record. NCBI's taxonomy places the organism in Eukaryota, Metazoa, Chordata, Actinopteri, Carangiformes, Carangidae.
GUUAGCAUCACAGGAACACAGGAAUGGCUGAACCUCCUAAAAGGCGAUAUGUAUUUGUAUCUCACAGAACCGCUCCCGACAAUAAACCACGUUCAACGGCGAAGAAAAGAAGCAACACGAGUAACUCUUGAUGUGGUUUUUCACCGCCGGAGACAGCUCCUGAGAGUAAAGAGAUGCGGUUUGAUGCCGAGCUCGCAACUUUCCUGUUAGCCCGGACCAGAAUUCCAGUCUAACCAUCACCAAUGAUGGACCUGCCUUUCCUUCUGCAUCUGGCCUCAUCAAUCAACAACCACAUUACAGUAACACCUUGAGGCUGGUGGACUCCAUUCUAGAGGCUGUGUUGACAGUAUCUCCAAACAAACAGUAUCUUGGCAUCUUGUGGCCCACUAUUCCCGCCACACAUGGACCUAGAGUGAGGAAACAGAGAGCUGUGCUUCACUUCAUGCCUCG